This 555-nucleotide long non-coding RNA is filed under the name Bos taurus (domestic cattle). RNAcentral describes it as "long non-coding RNA NONBTAT010990". The record is from RNAcentral. Lineage: Eukaryota; Metazoa; Chordata; Mammalia; Artiodactyla; Bovidae.
GAUGACAACAGGGAGGAGGGCAUCGUAUCUACCUGAGGAUCGGCCACGGCCUUUUCCUGGAGGAGACAGAGGACUCUGAAGAUUGAACAGAGGACCUGAAGGGAGAAACUGACAAACCCAUGGGCCUCUAAGCUUUGGGCAACACCAACUCCGGGAUGUUUGGGAGGACAAGGACCACGCCAAGGAUUGGUUCCUCCACCCCAACCACCACACAUAAGAGGCAAGCAGGGUACAAGAUGGCGUCUGCUGGCCACAGAGACCUCCAGGCUUGUGCAUCUUCCUGUGAGCGACCAGUACAUUGGAUUGUUGUGGUUUUCAUUUUUGCCCCACAAAUGCCCUACGUGCUCACCCCAGCCCCCAGUAAGAGAUCCCACCCUGCAAGUGCACUCCCAGCACCUCAGAGUCUCCCACUCUAAAGCAACUCUGAUGUGAGCGGGGGCAAGAAUCUGAAAGAGGGUUUGCACUGACUCUACAAUGAAGAGACUCCAACAAAAAUGAGGUCUUAAGUAACGGUAAAAAAAUAAUAAUAAUAAAUAAAGUGAAUAAAUAACGAGG